RNAcentral lists this ribosomal RNA (305 nucleotides) under uncultured bacterium. Its description in RNAcentral is "bacterial SSU rRNA". It matches the Rfam family "Bacterial small subunit ribosomal RNA", at positions 335 to 658 of the family's 1533-position model. The record is from RNAcentral.
AGCCUACGGGGCGCAGCAGUGGGGAAUAUUGCACAAUGGGGGAAACCCUGAUGCAGCGACGCCGCGUGAGUGAAGAAGUAUUUUGGUAUGUAAAGCUCUAUCAGCAGGGAAGAAAAUGACGGUACCUGAUUAAGAAGCCCCGGCUAACUACGUGCCAGCAGCCGCGGUAAUACGUAGGGGGCAAGCGUUAUCCGGAUUUACUGGGUGUAAAGGGAGCGUAGACGGUGAUGCAAGUCAGAAGUGAAAGCCCGGGGCUCAACCGCGGGACUGCUUUGGAAACUGUUAAGCUGGAGUGCAGGAGAGGU